GGUGGGGAGCUAGCGGUGCCCUGCACCUGCAAUCCGCUCUAGCAGGACCGAUGCUCGCCUUCGGCCCGCAUGGUCCGGGAUGUCCCGAACACGGAGCGCCUGAGGAUCGGGUCCCGCGCGACGUCAACCUGUGAACCCCGUCAGGUCCGGAAGGAAGCAGCGGUAAACGGGUCUUGGCGGGUGCCGCGGGAAUCACCUGGUCUGAGCCACCGGUUCGGGCAACGCCCGAGUCGUGCGUUCGUCAACGG
This 248-nucleotide signal recognition particle RNA is filed under the name Actinomycetota bacterium. RNAcentral describes it as "Actinobacteria bacterium (soil metagenome) signal recognition particle sRNA large type". It matches the Rfam family "Bacterial large signal recognition particle RNA". Rfam says of the family: The signal recognition particle (SRP) is a universally conserved ribonucleoprotein involved in the co-translational targeting of proteins to membranes. Archaeal SRP consists of a 7S RNA and homologues of the eukaryotic SRP19 and SRP54 proteins. In most bacteria, the SRP consists of a 4.5S RNA and the Ffh protein (a homologue of the eukaryotic SRP54 protein). Lineage: Bacteria; Bacillati; Actinomycetota. The record is from RNAcentral.